AUGGCAUCCUCCUCUUCCAUCCUUCUCCUUGCUGCUCUUCUUGCCUUGGUCUCAUGCCAGGCCACUGCCUCCGACCCUAGCCCCCUCCAGGACUUUUGUGUCGCCGACAUGAAUUCACCAGUUCGUGUCAAUGGGUUUGUUUGCAAGAACCCAAUGGAGGUCAACGCUGAUGACUUCUUCAAGGCAGCCGCUCUCGACAAGCCUAGGGUGACCAACAAGGUUGGAUCCAACGUCACCUUGAUCAACGUCAUGCAGAUUGCUGGACUCAACACACUCGGCAUCUCAAUUGCGCGCAUCGACUAUGCUCCCUUGGGUCAGAACCCA
Molecule: ribosomal RNA, 324 nt
Filed under: Triticum aestivum (bread wheat)
Lineage: Eukaryota; Viridiplantae; Streptophyta; Magnoliopsida; Poales; Poaceae
Description: partial small subunit ribosomal RNA
Source: RNAcentral